Molecule: ribosomal RNA, 440 nt
Filed under: uncultured bacterium
Lineage: Bacteria
Description: partial 16S ribosomal RNA
Rfam family: Bacterial small subunit ribosomal RNA
Source: RNAcentral
CCUACGGGGGGCAGCAGUGGGGGAUAUUGCACAAUGGGGGAAACCCUGAUGCAGCGACGCCGCGGGAGUGAAGAAGGAUUUCGGUAUGUAAAGCUCUAUCAGCAGGGAAGAAAAUGACAGUACCUGACCAAGAAGCCCAGGAUAACUACGUGCCAGCAGCCGUGGUAAGACGUAGGGGGCAAGCGUUAUACGGAUUUACUGGGUGUUAAGGGAGCGUAGACGGUUCUGUAAGUCUGGAGGGAAAGCCCUGGGCCCAACCCCGGGACUGCUUUGGAAACUGUGUACCUGGAGUACAGGAGGGGCAGGCGGAAUUCCUGGUGUAGCGGUGAAAUGCGUAGAUAUCAGGAGGAACACCGGCGGCGAAGGCGGCCUGCUGGACUGAAACUGACGUUGAGGCUCGAAAGCGUGGGGAGCAAACAGGAUUAGAUACCCGGGUAGUC